RNAcentral lists this ribosomal RNA (252 nucleotides) under uncultured bacterium. RNAcentral's name for it is "partial 16S ribosomal RNA". It matches the Rfam family "Bacterial small subunit ribosomal RNA", at positions 524 to 776 of the family's 1533-position model. The record is from RNAcentral.
UACGUAGGGGGCGAGCGUUAUCCGGAUUUAUUGGGCGUAAAGCGUGCGUAGGCGGUUCGUUAAGUUUAAGAUUAAAGCCCGGAGCUCAACUCCGGUUCGUCUUAAAAACUGGCAGACUUGAGUGUGGUAGAGGCAAAUGGAAUUUCUAGUGUAGCGGUUAAAUGCGUAGAUAUUAGAAGGAACACCAGUGGCGAAGGCGGUUUGCUGGGCCAUUACUGACGCUGAUGCACGAAAGCGUGGGGAGCAAACAGG